AUUGCACUCUGCAACUCGAGUGCAUGAAGUCGGAAUCGCUAGUAAUCGCAGGUCAGCAUACUGCGGUGAAUACGUUCCCGGGUCUUGUACACACCGCCCGUCACACCAUGGGAGUGGGGGAUACCAGAAGUAGGUAGGAUAACCGCAAGGAGUCCGCUUACCACGGUAUGCUUCAUGACUGGGGUGAAGUCGUAACAAGGUAGCCGUAGGGGAACCUGCGGCUGGAUCACCUCCUUUCUAG
RNAcentral lists this ribosomal RNA (241 nucleotides) under Neisseria meningitidis. Its description in RNAcentral is "partial 16S ribosomal RNA". It matches the Rfam family "Bacterial small subunit ribosomal RNA", at positions 1297 to 1533 of the family's 1533-position model. Lineage: Bacteria; Pseudomonadati; Pseudomonadota; Betaproteobacteria; Neisseriales; Neisseriaceae. The record is from RNAcentral.